Molecule: ribosomal RNA, 493 nt
Filed under: uncultured bacterium
Lineage: Bacteria
Description: partial 16S ribosomal RNA
Rfam family: Bacterial small subunit ribosomal RNA
Source: RNAcentral
GACGAACGCUGGCGGCGUGCUUGACACAUGCAAGUCGAACGGAAAGGCCUGCUUUCCCUUGUGGAUUGCGGGUACUCGAGUGGCGAACGGGUGAGUAACACGUGAGUGAUCUGCCCCCAACUUGGGUAUAAGCCUGGGAAACUGGGUCUAAUUCCCGAUAGGACUGCAGGGUGGUGCCUGUGGUGGAAAACGAUUUUCUAGUGGUUGGGGAUGAGCUCGCGGCCUAUCAGCUUGUUGGUGGGGUAAUGGCCUACCAAGGCGGCGACGGGUAGCCGGCCUGAGAGGGUGGACGGCCACAUUGGGACUGAGAUACGGCCCAGACUCCUACGGGAGGCAGCAGUGGGGAAUAUUGCACAAUGGGCGGAAGCCUGAUGCAGCGACGCCGCGUGGGGGAUGACGGCCUUCGGGUUGUAAACUCCUUUCGACCGCGAGGAAGCCACCUGGUUGGAAGGGUGGUGACGGUAGUGGUAGAAGAAGCACCGGCUAACUACGU